GUAGGUGGCAAGCGUUGUCCGGAAUUAUUGGGCGUAAAGCGCGCGCAGGCGGUUCUUUAAGUCUGAUGUGAAAGCCCACGGCUCAACCGUGGAGGGUCAUUGGAAACUGGAGAACUUGAGUACAGAAGAGGAAAGCGGAAUUCCACGUGUAGCGGUGAAAUGCGUAGAGAUGUGGAGGAACACCAGUGGCGAAGGCGGCUUUCUGGUCUGUAACUGACGCUGAGGCGCGAAAGCGUGGGGAGCAAACAGGAUUAGAUACCCUGGUAGUCCACGCCGUAAACGAUGAGUGCUAAGUGUUAGGGGGGUUUUCCGCCCCCCUUAGUGCUGCAGCUAACGCAUUGAGCACUCCGCCUGGGAGUACGGCCGCAAGGCUG
This 374-nucleotide ribosomal RNA is filed under the name uncultured organism. RNAcentral's name for it is "partial 16S ribosomal RNA". It matches the Rfam family "Bacterial small subunit ribosomal RNA", at positions 527 to 896 of the family's 1533-position model. The record is from RNAcentral.